GAUGAACGCUGGCGGCGUGCCUAAUACAUGCAAGUCGAGCGAACAGACGAGGAGCUUGCUCCUCUGACGUUAGCGGCGGACGGGUGAGUAACACGUGGAUAACCUACCUAUAAGACUGGGAUAACUUCGGGAAACCGGAGCUAAUACCGGAUAAUAUAUUGAACCGCAGGGUUCAAUAGUGAAAGACGGUUUUGCUGUCACUUAUAGAUGGAUCCGCGCCGCAUUAGCUAGUUGGUAAGGUAACGGCUUACCAAGGCAACGAUGCGUAGCCGACCUGAGAGGGUGAUCGGCCACACUGGAACUGAGACACGGUCCAGACUCCUACGGGAGGCAGCAGUAGGGAAUCUUCCGCAAUGGGCGAAAGCCUGACGGAGCAACGCCGCGUGAGUGAUGACGGUCUUCGGAUCGUAAAACUCUGUUAUUAGGGAAGAACAAAUGUGUAAGUAACUAUGCACGUCUUGACGGUACCUAAUCAGAAAGCCACGGCUAACUACGUG
RNAcentral lists this ribosomal RNA (497 nucleotides) under uncultured bacterium. RNAcentral's name for it is "partial 16S ribosomal RNA". It matches the Rfam family "Bacterial small subunit ribosomal RNA", at positions 28 to 507 of the family's 1533-position model. The record is from RNAcentral.